This 377-nucleotide ribosomal RNA is filed under the name uncultured bacterium. Its description in RNAcentral is "bacterial SSU rRNA". It matches the Rfam family "Bacterial small subunit ribosomal RNA", at positions 29 to 433 of the family's 1533-position model. The record is from RNAcentral.
AGCGAACGCUGGCGGCAGGCUUAACACAUGCAAGUCGAGCGGGCACUUCGGUGUCAGCGGCAGACGGGUGAGUAACGCGUGGGAACAUACCUUUUGGUUCGGAACAACACAGGGAAACUUGUGCUAAUACCGGAUAAGCCCUUACGGGGAAAGAUUUAUCGCCGAAAGAUUGGCCCGCGUCUGAUUAGCUUGUUGGUGAGGUAACGGCUCACCAAGGCGACGAUCAGUAGCUGGUCNGAGAGGAUGAUCAGCCACAUUGGGACUGAGACACGGCCCAAACUCCUACGGGAGGCAGCAGUGGGGAAUAUUGGACAAUGGGCGCAAGCCUGAUCCAGCCAUGCCGCGUGAGCGAUGAAGGCCCUAGGGUUGUAAAGCUC